RNAcentral lists this ribosomal RNA (272 nucleotides) under uncultured Staphylococcus sp. Its description in RNAcentral is "partial 16S ribosomal RNA". It matches the Rfam family "Bacterial small subunit ribosomal RNA", at positions 505 to 777 of the family's 1533-position model. The record is from RNAcentral. Lineage: Bacteria; Bacillati; Bacillota; Bacilli; Caryophanales; Staphylococcaceae.
GUGCCAGCCGCCGCGGUAAUACGUAGGUGGCAAGCGUUAUCCGGAAUUAUUGGGCGUAAAGCGCGCGUAGGCGGUUUUUUAAGUCUGAUGUGAAAGCCCACGGCUCAACCGUGGAGGGUCAUUGGAAACUGGAAAACUUGAGUGCAGAAGAGGAAAGUGGAAUUCCAUGUGUAGCGGUGAAAUGCGCAGAGAUAUGGAGGAACACCAGUGGCGAAGGCGACUUUCUGGUCUGUAACUGACGCUGAUGUGCGAAAGCGUGGGGAUCAACAGGA